UUAAAUAGAGAGAUUCAGACCAUUCUAGAGUAUAAGGAUUAUAAUAAUAUCACUCGUUUAUUUCAUCUUGCUUGUAAAGCGGAACGUGAAGUGCAGGAUCGACAGGCAUUGGCGCGGACUAACUUUUCUGCAGGUCGACCUUCAUCAUGGACACCGCGUGCAUCCUCAACUUCCACACAUUCUACUGCACCGACACCUCCAUCAGCUAUUACCUCUAGUCGUGAUACAAGGAAGCAGGCACAACCACCAUUAUCUGCCAAGAGCACACCUAUCGGGCCUGCACAAAGUUCGUCUUCUUCCAUGGCAUCAACAGGGCACACCAGUGAUAUUAUUUGUCGUCGUUGUAAGGGAAGAGGACAUUUUGCGAGAGAAUGCAAAUCUCAGCGUGUGAUGAUUGCUACUGAGGAUGGUGGGUAUGAGUCCGCUAGUGACUAUGAUGAGGAGACUUUGGCUCUUAUUACACGUGAAGAACACGGUGGAGACGAUUCUGAUCAUGAGAUGCAAUACAUGGCUCCUGAA
Molecule: ribosomal RNA, 519 nt
Filed under: Triticum aestivum (bread wheat)
Lineage: Eukaryota; Viridiplantae; Streptophyta; Magnoliopsida; Poales; Poaceae
Description: partial small subunit ribosomal RNA
Source: RNAcentral